GUCUACAGAGGUGUAAGGAAGGAAUUUGACAGAAGUCCCUCUAGCGGAAAUCACAGUAUCUUGGAUGCAGCCAUCAAACAAGUCCUUCUCUCCACUGUUUCCUUUUGGGAAGGAAACAUGGACUGGGAAUCUCAGGUUGAGAGGCUGCUGAUUCCUUAAGUAUUGUGACAAGAGGAAUCCUCAUCUCCCAGCACUACAGAGUGGCCAGAAUCUGCAGCCAAGUACAGGAAAUCCUGGUUUUCAGUAAAGAUUCAUUUAAUUGUCAUGUUCUACAGAUACAAUGGAUGUUUAUUCUUUUGGAUGAGAAAAGUUGCUGUUAGCCCCCUGACAGGAGGAGACUUCUGGUGGUACAAAGCUUGGGUCCUUGCUCCUGUACUUUUGUUUGACCAGGUGGAAGAGCGCUACCAGAGGCACGCACACGCAAGGAAGGGCAGCCAACAGCACACAAAUGGCCUGUACCCAAGCUGGAUAAACUUUCUCCUCUUUCAUGGGGAAGCCUUCCUGUGGAGAUAAAAAAGCAAGCAAAAGAAAUAAUUCAUAGAUGUACACAACUCCAAUCACUUCAAAGAAAGCGAUGACUAGAAGAGGCACUGAAGCUGCAUAUCUGUCAAAAAUGUCAAUCCAGUAACUCCCCGAACCCAGUGUAAAACACAGAGCAAUGAGGAAGCUAAUUAGACAUAUUAUACCUGAAGAAAAAAAGAUAUCUUUGUUACUGGAGUACUGGUAGGACAGAGUACAUGUACUUAAAAGAGAAAGGAAGAUACCAAUCCUCCUACCUACUACCUCUGUUUAAGGAUUACCUGUUGAAAGCAGUUAUGGUACCUGAUCAAGAAAUUCUUGAAGGUCACAGCUUUUCAGUUUGAGUCCAGCAAUUUUUUCUGGGUAUGAUGAAUUCAAAAAACUAAUCCAGGAUGUAUAGUUCUGUCGCAUGAUGCUUUCUUCUGGAAGAUCAAAUUCAUUGAUGAUAUUGAUAAUGUUCCUGCCAGAGAAGCCAACAUAUUUAAACUUUAGUUUAAAAGUUUGCAGAUGAUGUGGCUGGAAAUGCUAUGCUGUGUAUUCAGAUGCUACACCAAAGUUGUGUUUACUUUCUGUGCUGGUAUUUACAAUGUAAAGGAGAAUAUUAAUUGGCAGCUUAUAUAUAAAACAGAAAAUAUUCAGACUAUUUAAUGUUGUCUCGGACAGAAACUCUGAGUACUUUAUACAGAUGCAGUCUCUAAAACAUUUUUGUUUUAUCAGAUUUCCAGACCAUUUCUACUACUUGUGUUUAAUAAGUUAGUGAAAUAAAUUUCUGGUGAAGUAGAAAAAAGUGGGGAUUUUUACUACUUCUAAUGCUAGCCUGAGAGUAAGGUGCAAGCCUUGGUGCACUACUUGAAGUGGGUUGUUCUGCAAUUUCUCUUGCUUCUUACAAAUGAUCACCCUUGACUCAAUCCCAUAGUACUUUAUAUUUUUACAUUAAACUUCUCCAUACAGGUGCUUUUCCUUCCUAAUAAAAAUAAUUUUCUCAAAUUAAUGUCUUUCAAAUAACACAUUAUCACAUUAUCUAUUUAGGCACUGAAACCACAGUAUAACUUUGGGAACACAGCUUUCUCACCUGUCCAAGCAGUCCCAGUAGGCUGUGGUUGCUUUAAACCCCAACACAGAAAAGACUGGGAUGGAAGCAUAGAGAGAUGUCAUGCUAUUCACAAUUGCUACUGUCACAGCAUCCUUUUCACAGUCAUUUCUAGAGAUAGCAUUCAAACAAGUGAAGUGAUUAAAAAGGCAGGUUUUCUUAUCUGUGAUGCAGUUAUUAAUACAAACAUUUUUUUUAAAUGUCUUCUCUCCCUCCCUCCCCUUCUCUGUUCUGUUAGAAAAUCUAGUGGGCCUUUUAGGAAGACAGAUACUUUUCUAAAGAUCCUUUAGAAAAAUUAAGGGAAACAUUUUGAAAGUUUUAAGAAAUUGCACAAAAUGCAGCAAGAAUUCAGCCAGCUAAUAAAGGUUGUAGUUCUACUCACUUUGUUGGAUUGUAGCUCGCAAAUGCAAUAAGCCCUCCAAAAGCCAAAGAGAGAGAGAAGAAAAUCUGUGUAGCUGCAUCAAGCCAUACACGGGGAUUUUUCAAAGUGUUCAGCUGAAAUAAUUGAAAGAAAUGCAUGUAUUACAUGUAUUAUUACAUGGCUUAAAUUAAAAUUUA
Molecule: long non-coding RNA, 2167 nt
Organism: Passer domesticus (house sparrow)
Lineage: Eukaryota; Metazoa; Chordata; Aves; Passeriformes; Passeridae
Exons: 5
Source: RefSeq, a predicted model, not a curated record